CAUGUGUCCCUUGGUCAUGCUAUUUGAGGUUUCAUAGUAAACCUCAAAUUUACUGUGUAAAUUUACAUAGUAAACCUCAUAGGUUUACUAUGAAACCUCAAAUAGCAUGACCAGGGGACACAUGA
Molecule: microRNA precursor, 125 nt
Filed under: Pongo abelii (Sumatran orangutan)
Lineage: Eukaryota; Metazoa; Chordata; Mammalia; Primates; Hominidae
Description: miRNA
Source: RNAcentral